Molecule: ribosomal RNA, 265 nt
Filed under: uncultured archaeon
Lineage: Archaea
Description: partial 16S ribosomal RNA
Rfam family: Archaeal small subunit ribosomal RNA
Source: RNAcentral
ACACGACUACAUUAGAUACCCUGUAGUCCUAGCCGUAAACGAUACUCGCUAGGUGUCGGCCACGGUGCGACCGUUGUCGGUGCCGUAGGGAAGCCGUGAAGCGAGCCACCUGGGAAGUACGGCCGCAAGGCUGAAACUUAAAGGAAUUGGCGGGGGGAGCACCACAACGGGUGGAGCUUGCGGUUUAAUUGGAUUCAACGCCGGAAAUCUUACCGGGACCGACAGCAACAUGAAGGCCAGGCUGAAGACUUUGCCGGAUUAGCUG